GUCGCGAGAAGUCCACUGAACCUUAUCAUUUAGAGGAAGGAGAAGUCG
RNAcentral lists this ribosomal RNA (48 nucleotides) under Coffea costatifructa. Its description in RNAcentral is "partial 18S ribosomal RNA". The record is from RNAcentral. RNAcentral also lists the same sequence under 1 other name. Lineage: Eukaryota; Viridiplantae; Streptophyta; Magnoliopsida; Gentianales; Rubiaceae.